AGAGUUUGAUCAUGGCUCAGAUUGAACGCUGGCGGCAGGCCUAACACAUGCAAGUCGAACGGUAACAGGAAGAAGCUUGCUUCUUUGCUGACGAGUGGCGGACGGGUGAGUAAUGUCUGGGAAACUGCCUGAUGGAGGGGGAUAACUACUGGAAACGGUAAGCUAAUACCGCAUAACGUCGCAAGACCAAAGAGGGGGACCUUCGGGCCUCUUGCCAUCGGAUGUGCCCAGAUGGGAUUAGCUAGUAGGUGGGGUAACGGCUCACCUAGGCGACGAUCCCUAGCUGGUCUGAGAGGAUGACCAGCCACACUGGAACUGAGACACGGUCCAGACUCCUACGGGAGGCAGCAGUGGGGAAUAUUGCACAAUGGGCGCAAGCCUGAUGCAGCCAUGGCCGCGUGUAUGAAGAAGGCCUUCGGGUUGUAAAGUACUUUCAGCGGGGAGGAAGGGAGUAAAGUUAAUACCUUUGCUCAUUGACGUUACCCGCAGAAGAAGCACCGGCUAACUCCGUGCCAGCAGCCGCGGUAAUACGGAGGGUGCAAGCGUUAAUCGGAAUUACUGGGCGUAAAGCGCACGCAGGCGGUUUGUUAAGUCAGAUGUGAAAUCCCCGGGCUCAACCUGGGAACUGCAUCUGAUACUGGCAAGCUUGAGUCUCGUAGAGGGGGGUAGAAUUCCAGGUGUAGCGGUGAAAUGCGUAGAGAUCUGGAGGAAUACGGUGGCGAAGGCGGCCCCCUGGACGAAGACUGACGCUCAGGUGCGAAAGCGUGGGGGAGCAAACAGGAUUAGAUACCCUGGUAGUCCACGCCGUAAACGAUGUCGACUUGGAGGUUGUGCCCUUGAGGCGUGGCUUCCGGAAGCUAACGCGUUAAGUCGACCGCCUGGGGAGUACGGCCGCAAGGUUAAAACUCAAAUGAAUUGACGGGGGCCCGCACAAGCGGUGGAGCAUGUGGUUUAAUUCGAUGCAACGCGAAGAACCUUUACCUGGUCUUGACAUCCACGGAAGUUUUCAGAGAUGAGAAUGUGCCUUCGGGAACCGUGAGACAGGUGCUGCAUGGCUGUCGUCAGCUCGUGUUGUGAAAUGUUGGGUUAAGUCCCGCAACGAGCGCAACCCUUAUCCUUUGUUGCCAGCGGUCCGGCCGGGAACUCAAAGGAGACUGCCAGUGAUAAACUGGGAGGAAGGUGGGGAUGACGUCAAGUCAUCAUGGCCCUUACGACCAGGGCUACACACGUGCUACAAUGGCGCAUACAAAGAGAAGCGACCUCGCGAGAGCAAGCGGACCUCAUAAAGUGCGUCGUAGUCCGGAUUGGAGUCUGCAACUCGACUCCAUGAAGUCGGAAUCGCUAGUAAUCGUGGAUCAGAAUGCCACGGUGAAUACGUUCCCGGGCCUUGUACACACCGCCCGUCACACCAUGGGAGUGGGUUGCAAAAGAAGUAGGUAGCUUAACCUUCGGGAGGGCGCUUACCACUUUGUGAUUCAUGACUGGGGUGAAGUCGUAACAAGGUAACCGUAGGGGAACCUGCGGUUGGAUCACCU
Molecule: ribosomal RNA, 1535 nt
Filed under: Escherichia coli
Lineage: Bacteria; Pseudomonadati; Pseudomonadota; Gammaproteobacteria; Enterobacterales; Enterobacteriaceae
Description: bacterial SSU rRNA
Rfam family: Bacterial small subunit ribosomal RNA
Source: RNAcentral